RNAcentral lists this non-coding RNA (963 nucleotides) under Monodelphis domestica (gray short-tailed opossum). The record is from Rfam by way of RNAcentral. Lineage: Eukaryota; Metazoa; Chordata; Mammalia; Didelphimorphia; Didelphidae.
UAAACAAAAGGUUUGGUCCUAGCCUUAUUGUUAAUUUUAUUUAGACCUACACAUGCAAGUUUCCGCUACCCUAUGAGAAUGCCCUCAAAACUAUUAAACCAAAAGAUAAGAGGAGCUGGUAUCAGGCACACUAACAGUAGCCAAUUACACCUUGCUCAACCACACCCCCAUGGGAAACAGCAGUGAUUAGAAUUAAGCUAUAAAUGAAAGUUUGACUAAAUCAUAAUUAUCUUUAAGGGUUGGUAAAUUUCAUGCCAGCCACCGCGGUCAUACAAUUAACCCAAAUUAACAAACUUCCGGCGUAAAGUGUAUUCAAACAAAACAUUAAAAUAAAGUUAAUACUUAACUAAGUUGUAAUAUACUCUAGUUAAUACUAAAAUAAGUUAUUAAAAUAACUUUAAUAAAGCUGAUACAUGACAACUAAGACACAAACUAGGAUUAGAUACCCCACUAUGCUUAGUCGUAAACUAAAAUAGUUAAAUAACAAAACUACUCGCCAGAGAACUACUAGCUACUGCUUAAAACUCAAAGGACUUGGCUGUGCCCUAAACCCACCUAGAGGAGCCUGUUCUAUAAUCGAUAAACCCUGAUAUACCCAACCCUAUCUUGCCAAUACAGCCUAUAUACCGCCAUCGUCAGCCCACCUUAAAAAAGAUAUAAAGUAAACAAAAUUAUCUUCCAUAAAAACGUUAGGUCAAGGUGUAGCCUAUGAUAGGGAAAGAAAUGGGCUACAUUAUCUAACUUAGAUAAUAAUGAAUCACACUAUGAAAUUAAAUGUGCCUGAAGGAGGAUUUAGUAGUAAAUUAAGAAUAGAGUGCUUAAUUGAAUUAGGCAAUAGGGCACGCACACACCGCCCGUCACCCUCCUCAACUCAAUUUAUAAAAUUACCUAAUAAUUUAUCUAAAUAAAGAGGAGAAAAGUCGUAAUAGAUGGACUUCAUAGUCCAUCUUGGCAAGAAGCCAA